UGGCCACCGUUAACCAUUCCCUAACCACCAACAAAGAUCAUUCUUUCAAAAUCCCACCCAGCACGAAGAUUUCCUAAGGGAGGCACUAACACCGAAGCGUGCAAGUGCACACAAAUGCUGCAAAUCUUCAACAAAAAGUAAAACUCCAGAUAUGCAAGAACACUAAGCAAAAAUCAGAAGCCGUUGGGGUAGUGAACGCUCAAAGCUUCGGACUCCUUAUUGGUAAAUUGUAACCUUGAUUCACCAAGUUAUUUCAACCAACUUAACCAAAAUAAGUGCAAUGGAAAAACAGUAACGAGAUGGAGCCAAGAGGAUGUUCGCUCGAGGAUAUGAGUUUCGUCGAAAAGUGUACAAAUACUAACUGUAAGGGCCACCUGACAAAUUAUUCCGGUGUGACCAGUUCCAAAUAGCGAAACACAACAACAAUAACCAAAAUAGCUCCGUUCAUUAACCUAAAGAGUCGUCGUGACGCUACUACCACGUCUAGGACACUGGAGCAGCAUCGUAGGAGGAACAAAACUCGUCGGAACCCUAAUCAGUUGGGUUUUGAUUAAAUGAAAAAAGAAAUAAGAAAUGUAAAAGAUUCUUUUGUUAAAGAAAUAGAGAAAAUAGUAUAUUUCGGCCUGAUUUUGUAAUUUUGAAGGCUCAUUCAUUGUUUACGGUGGUAUGGAGGGGAAAAGAGGGAUUAAGGGCGAUAAGAAAGGUGGAAAAAUCGAGAAAGAGAAGAAAAUCGGGGGGUGGUAAUUUUUGAUUAAUUAUACUUUUUAUAGUUUAAUUCAUUUUUAAUCCUUUACACGUGUGUGUUACACAUAAUUUGUCCAUCUCAACUAUGUCAACGCCACAUAAGCUCUGUUAAUGGUUAGAG
This 865-nucleotide long non-coding RNA is filed under the name Nicotiana benthamiana. RNAcentral's name for it is "long non-coding RNA (NBEN_LNC016539)". Lineage: Eukaryota; Viridiplantae; Streptophyta; Magnoliopsida; Solanales; Solanaceae. The record is from RNAcentral.